GAACUGAAGAGUUUGAUCCUGGCUCAGAUUGAACGCUGGCGGCAUGCCUUACACAUGCAAGUCGAACGGCAGCACGGGUGCUUGCACCUGGUGGCGAGUGGCGAACGGGUGAGUAAUACAUCGGAACAUGUCCUGUAGUGGGGGAUAGCCCGGCGAAAGCCGGAUUAAUACCGCAUACGAUCUACGGAUGAAAGCGGGGGACCUUCGGGCCUCGCGCUAUAGGGUUGGCCGAUGGCUGAUUAGCUAGUUGGUGGGGUAAAGGCCUACCAAGGCGACGAUCAGUAGCUGGUCUGAGAGGACGACCAGCCACACUGGGACUGAGACACGGCCCAGACUCCUACGGGAGGCAGCAGUGGGGAAUUUUGGACAAUGGGCGAAAGCCUGAUCCAGCAAUGCCGCGUGUGUGAAGAAGGCCUUCGGGUUGUAAAGCACUUUUGUCCGGAAAGAAAUCCUUGGCUCUAAUACAGUCGGGGGAUGACGGUACCGGAAGAAUAAGCACCGGCUAACUACGUGCCAGCAGCCGCGGUAAUACGUAGGGUGCGAGCGUUAAUCGGAAUUACUGGGCGUAAAGCGUGCGCAG
RNAcentral lists this ribosomal RNA (580 nucleotides) under Burkholderia multivorans. RNAcentral describes it as "bacterial SSU rRNA". It matches the Rfam family "Bacterial small subunit ribosomal RNA", at positions 1 to 574 of the family's 1533-position model. The record is from RNAcentral. Lineage: Bacteria; Pseudomonadati; Pseudomonadota; Betaproteobacteria; Burkholderiales; Burkholderiaceae.